CGAAGCUGGAUUCGCUAGUAAUCGCGCAUCAGCCAUGGCGCGGUGAAUACGUUCCCGGGCCUUGUACACACCGCCCGUCACACCAUGGGAGUCGGAAAUGCCCGAAGUCUGUGACCUAACCGUAAGGGAGGAGCAGCCGAAGGCAGGUCGGAUGACUGGGGUGAAGUCGUAACAAGGUAAC
Molecule: ribosomal RNA, 181 nt
Filed under: uncultured bacterium
Lineage: Bacteria
Description: partial 16S ribosomal RNA
Rfam family: Bacterial small subunit ribosomal RNA
Source: RNAcentral